RNAcentral lists this ribosomal RNA (380 nucleotides) under uncultured cyanobacterium. RNAcentral describes it as "bacterial SSU rRNA". It matches the Rfam family "Bacterial small subunit ribosomal RNA", at positions 376 to 770 of the family's 1533-position model. The record is from RNAcentral. Lineage: Bacteria; Bacillati; Cyanobacteriota.
CGCAAGCCUGACGGAGCAAUACCGCGUGAGGGAGGAAGGCUUUUGGGUUGUAAACCUCUUUUCUCAAGGAAGAAAAAAAUGACGGUACUUGAGGAAUCAGCAUCGGCUAACUCCGUGCCAGCAGCCGCGGUAAUACGGAGGAUGCAAGCGUUAUCCGGAAUUAUUGGGCGUAAAGCGUCCGCAGGUGGUAUAUCAAGUCUGCUGUCAAAGACUAGGGCUUAACCCUGGAGCGGCAGUGGAAACUGAUGAACUAGAGUACGGUAGGGGUAGAGGGAAUUCCCAGUGUAGCGGUGAAAUGCGUAGAGAUUGGAAAGAACACCAGUGGCGAAGGCGCUCUACUGGGCUAAAACUGACACUGAGAGACGAAAGCUAGGGUAGCG